GUUUCCUACGCGAUGCUCGUCAUCGUAGGGUUAGUCGGGUCCUAAGUCGAGUCCGAAAGGGGUAGACGAUGGCAAAUUGGUUAAUAUUCCAAUACCAACAUUAGUGUGCGAUGGAAGGACGCUUAGGGCUAAGGGGGCUAGCGGAUGGAAGUGCUAGUCUAAGGUCGUAGGAGGUUAUACAGGCAAAUCCGUAUAACAAUACUCCGAGAACUGAAAGGCUUUUUGAAGUCUUCGGAUGGAUAGAAGAACCCCUGAUGCCGUCGAGCCAAGAAAAGUUUCUAAGUUUAGCUAAUGUUGCCCGUACCGUAAACCGACACAGGUGGGUGGGAUGAGUAUUCUAAGGCGCGUGGAAGAACUCUCUUUAAGGAACUCUGCAAAAUAGCACCGUAUCUUCGGUAUAAGGUGUGGUUAGCUUUGUAUUAGGAUUUACUCCGAAAGCAAGGAAACUUACAACAAAGAGUCCCUCCCGACUGUUUACCAAAAACACAGCACUCUGCUAACUCGUAAGAGGAUGUAUAGGGUGUGACGCCUGCCCGGUGCUCGAAGGUUAAUUGAUGGGGUUAGCAUUAGCGAAGCUCUUGAUCGAAGCCCGAGUAAACGGCGGCCGUAACUAUAACGGUCCUAAGGUAGCGAAAUUCCUUGUCGGUUAAAUACCGACCUGCAUGAAUGGCGUAACGAGAUGGGAGCUGUCUCAAAGAGGGAUCCAGUGAAAUUGUAGUGGAGGUGAAAAUUCCUCCUACCCGCGGCAAGACGGAAAGACCCCGUGGACCUUUACUACAGCUUGACACUGCUACUUGGAUAAGAAUGUGCAGGAUAGGUGGGAGGCUUUGAGUAUAUGACGCCAGUUGUAUAUGAGCCAUUGUUGAGAUACCACUCUUUCUUAUUUGGGUAGCUAACCAGCUUGAGUUAUCCUCAAGUGGGACAAUGUCUGGUGGGUAGUUUGACUGGGGCGGUCGCCUCCCAAAUAAUAACGGAGGCUUACAAAGGUUGGCUCAGAACGGUUGGAAAUCGUUCGUAGAGUAUAAAGGUAUAAGCCAGCUUAACUGCAAGACAUACAAGUCAAGCAGAGACGAAAGUCGGUCUUAGUGAUCCGGUGGUUCUGUGUGGAAGGGCCAUCGCUCAAAGGAUAAAAGGUACCCCGGGGAUAACAGGCUGAUCUCCCCCAAGAGCUCACAUCGACGGGGAGGUUUGGCACCUCGAUGUCGGCUCAUCGCAUCCUGGGGCUGGAGCAGGUCCCAAGGGUAUGGCUGUUCGCCAUUUAAAGCGGUACGCGAGCUGGGUUCAGAACGUCGUGAGACAGUUCGGUCCCUAUCUGCCGUGGGCGUAAGAAGAUUGAAGAGAUUUGACCCUAGUACGAGAGGACCGGGUUGAACAAACCACUGGUGUAGCUGUUGUUCUGCCAAGAGCAUCGCAGCGUAGCUAAGUUUGGAAAGGAUAAACGCUGAAAGCAUCUAAGCGUGAAGCCAACUCUAAGAUGAAUCUUCUCUAAGCUCUCUAGAAGACUACUAGUUUGAUAGGCUGGGUGUGUAAUGGAUGAAAGUCCUUUAGCUGACCAGUACUAAUAGAGCGUUUGGCUUAUCUUUAAUAAAGCAU
Molecule: ribosomal RNA, 1593 nt
Filed under: Campylobacter jejuni
Lineage: Bacteria; Pseudomonadati; Campylobacterota; Epsilonproteobacteria; Campylobacterales; Campylobacteraceae
Description: partial 23S ribosomal RNA
Rfam family: Bacterial large subunit ribosomal RNA
Source: RNAcentral